UCAAAGAGAACAGUGUGAAAAAGGGGUGGCUGGAGUGUACAGGCUGAGAGUAAAGCUGAUGUCAGAUCUUGAGGGUGUACAAGCUCUGCUGGGAGGUUGGAUGUGAUUCAGGUCAAGAGGACGUACUUCAGUUUCAGGCUUGAUCCUGUGCUGGAGGCAACCAGGAGAUAUUGUUUCUCUCUCCCCCCUCCCUUCCCACUCUCUCUAAAAAUAACGGGAAAAUAUCCUCAGAUGAGGAUUUUUUUAAAAAAGUCAAAAAUAUAGCACAUACAAUGAUGUGCAGUACAUAAUACUUGAUAAUGAUAAUAAACAACUGUGUGGCAGGUUUACAUAUUUACUAGACUAUGCUUUUAAUCAUUAUUUUGUAGUUUGCUCGUUCUACUUAUUUAAAAAUGUCCUCCGUAAAACAGUAUGCUGUGUUACACUUACAGCAGCAUCAUAUAUCUCACGUUUACCAAGUCUCUUGAUUGUAUCAUUUCCUCUUGUGCUUGAUGUACUCUCAUGUUGUUUUAUAAAUUUAGUGUAUACCUGCCAAGAAGGACUCCAGGUGGUUAAUUGGGCUUAAAUUCAUAAUCAGAGUCUAGCAGCCUUGGCUGACCAGGGCCUCUGACACAUACUUCAUUUCAGAGAAAAGCUGCAGACUGAUCCGAAAGCCUUCUGCAUUGUGUUCAUGUCCGGUAAGCCCACCCUUAUAAAGGUGUUCCUGGAAUCAUCUUUCAACCAAUCGGCUGAGACCUGCCCUGUCCAAUCAGAACUACACAGCUAUAGCCUCAUUUGCAUCUUUACUGACCAAUCAGAGCAACUCCACAAUGACCAAUCAGAAUAGGUGUUUAUGACCAAUCAGGACAGUGCUAUUUGGACCAAUCAAACUAAGCACAUUUGGAUUCCUCGUUUGCAUAAAAAUGGACCAAUCAGGAGCCAGGGCACCUCAGAUUGGGGACUGCUGUUGGAAUAGCUUGGGACCAGCCACCUUUUGUCAACAACAAUAAUGUCCUAGGCCUUCAUAUUUGCUCACCUUUCACCGACUCACCCAGAGCAACUUAGUCCUGCAUGCUCCAUUAAUGCUUUCCAGGUCUGUCGGCAGAGAGGAGACUGGCUCAGCAUCAGAGUUCCCAGACUUGACUCAAUAAUCACCAAACCUGAGAACCAGGCUCCAUUGGAAUUCCACCAACAGGAAGAGCUGGACAGGUUUCUUCUCAUUUCCUCACCUUAAUUCCGACUCAGCAGCUUCUACAGCUAUAAACAACAAAGGAUAUUUAAUAAGUGAGAUGCAUUGGUCUGUGAAACAGUGUUCCUGAUUCAUUAGGAAGUUGUGGUCAGGUUUUAUUGCAGUACGUGCUUCAUAUCUUGAUUUCUGGGUACCUGUGUGCACAACUCUGUCUGUAUCUGGGCACGAGGUGAUUUUCACCAAGAUUCAUUUACUUUGCCGUAAGCAGAAUGGAAAUAGCUGAGAGAAUCUCUUGGUGGGGGUGCCGGGGGGGGGGGGUGGCGGAGGGCAUUCCUUUGGUGUAGAGAUUACACAUUGGGUGGCAUAAGCACCCACUUAGAGGCCAACUUUUAGUCAACAAAUAUUUCUUAAGAUGAGCACUGUGCUAGGCUCUGAGCUCGGCACUGCAGAACAAAGAAGCCUGCUCCCAGCCCUCUGGGAGCAUCAGAGCUGCUGCUGCUUUACCUGCAGCUGUGCUCUUUCCUCGCCCUCCUCUUGGCCUGGCCAAUACAACUCAUGUCUCAAUUGUUAGCAUAAGACUCCCCUUUUCUGGAAAGCCUUCCAUGGGUCCUGGUAGAGAUGAUGAGUUGUCUAUUCAAUACCAAUUUUUUCUUCAUCCUACGAAUAAACUCUGGUUAUAGUCAAUAGCAUUGUACAUAGCUGCUAAACUGCAUUUCCCAGUCUCCCUUACAUUUAGGAGUGGCUAUUAAGAUGUAAGAGGAGCCCUAACUGGUUUGGCUCAGUGGAUAGAGCGUCAGCCUGCAGACUCAAGGGUCCCAGGUUCGAUUCCGGUAGGCACGUACAUUGGUUGCAGGCAUGUCCCCAGUGGGGGGUGUGCAGGAG
Myotis myotis is the source of this 2050-nucleotide long non-coding RNA. RefSeq lists it as uncharacterized. Lineage: Eukaryota; Metazoa; Chordata; Mammalia; Chiroptera; Vespertilionidae. The record is from RefSeq and is a predicted model, not a curated record. The transcript has 3 exons.